GAUGAACGCUGGCGGCGUGCUUAACACAUGCAAGUCGAACGAUGAAGCCCAGCUUGCUGGGUGGAUUAGUGGCGAACGGGUGAGUAACACGUGAGUAACCUGCCCUUAACUCUGGGAUAAGCCUGGGAAACUGGGUCUAAUACCGGAUAGGAGCGUCCACCGCAUGGUGGGUGUUGGAAAGAUUUAUCGGUUUUGGAUGGACUCGCGGCCUAUCAGCUUGUUGGUGAGGUAAUGGCUCACCAAGGCGACGACGGGUAGCCGGCCUGAGAGGGUGACCGGCCCCCCUGGGCCUGAGGCACGGCCCAGACUCCUACGGGAGGCAGCAGUGGGGAAUAUUGCCCAAUGGGCCAAAGCCUGAUGCAGCGACGCCGCGUGAGGGAUGACGGCCUUCGGGUUGUAAACCUCUUUCAGUAGGGAAGAAGCGAAAGUGACGGUACCUGCAGAAGAAGCACCGGCUAACUACGUG
This 466-nucleotide ribosomal RNA is filed under the name uncultured bacterium. RNAcentral's name for it is "partial 16S ribosomal RNA". It matches the Rfam family "Bacterial small subunit ribosomal RNA", at positions 28 to 507 of the family's 1533-position model. The record is from RNAcentral.